AUGACUUCAGGAGGUGUGUACUUGUGUACAAUAGCAUCGAGGAGAUCAUAUGCACCCAAAUUAUCCUUUGCCAGAGCAACAAAGGUAAGCUGUGGAGCUCGAGCUACGGCACUAUCUUGCACUGAUCGACAUCUGCAAUGCCAUCCUAGAGAGCUUUUCUUAGCUCAAGACAAGCACUCAGGAAAUUGCAUUGGCUCUCAGACCAAGAUACAGUCCUUCAUCCGUCUGACCAAGAUGGCGCCAAAACAGUGGGAGAAGAUCAACAAGAAAUCUCCUUCAGCUGACAAGGAGGGUUGCAGGGUGGUCAAACUGUUGGCUGGAGCAAGAGAGGUCGUUGCUUCAAUGCUUCAGUCACCCACGCGGCUCCUACUGAAGUAA
RNAcentral lists this ribosomal RNA (378 nucleotides) under Triticum aestivum (bread wheat). RNAcentral describes it as "partial small subunit ribosomal RNA". The record is from RNAcentral. Lineage: Eukaryota; Viridiplantae; Streptophyta; Magnoliopsida; Poales; Poaceae.